This 275-nucleotide ribosomal RNA is filed under the name uncultured Bacteroidota bacterium. RNAcentral describes it as "uncultured Bacteroidetes bacterium partial 16S ribosomal RNA". It matches the Rfam family "Bacterial small subunit ribosomal RNA", at positions 68 to 339 of the family's 1533-position model. The record is from RNAcentral. Lineage: Bacteria; Pseudomonadati; Bacteroidota.
ACAUCGAAAGCUUGCUUUUGAUGGGCGUCGACCGGCGCACGGGUGAGUAACGCGUAUCCAACCUGCCCAUCACUUGGGAAUAACCUUGCGAAAGUAAGACUAAUACCCAAUGAUAUCCCACGAAGGCAUCCGAAUGGGAUUAAAGAUUUAUCGGUGAUGGAUGGGGAUGCGUCUGAUUAGCUAGUUGGUGAGGUAACGGCCCACCAAGGCGACGAUCAGUAGGGGUUCUGAGAGGAAGGUCCCCCACAAUGGAACUGAGACACGGUCCAUACUCC